This 2210-nucleotide long non-coding RNA is filed under the name Sorghum bicolor (sorghum). RNAcentral describes it as "long non-coding RNA (SBIC_LNC012940)". Lineage: Eukaryota; Viridiplantae; Streptophyta; Magnoliopsida; Poales; Poaceae. The record is from RNAcentral.
GGGCCUUUCCUCCAUAUUUCCUGAUAACCCCCUAUAGAAAUAGGCAAACACCAAAACUCUUGGAAUUCUGUCAGAUAAAACCCUAAGUCUGGGUGUUGAUUGCAUUUGAAUCCUUUUCCAUGAUUAGUUGAUGGUUAAAUGUGAGCAUUAAAGACUGUCAACAAGCUCCCCCAAGGUUAACCUUUGCUCGUCCCUGAGCAAGGAUGGACUCAAGAGUUUCUGCAGUGGUUUCAUGCCUUAAAGGUACACAUGCGUUCAAACAAGAUCUCAUCUCUGGGUUAAGGUAAACUGUUAAGAUUUAAACUUACUCAUUUUUCCUUCCACCAUGGGGCUUGCAACCGUCACUUGUGUCUUGAGUAGUUAAAAGAUAGAACGAUCUAGUCAAGCGCCAUGUCUCUUGUUCUUCGAUUAACUAUAGCUCUGGAGUGUUUGCAGAUUUUCAAAUAAAACUCAGAGAUUCCUUGUAUGACUCUCUCUAGUCUCUCUUUUGUGUUAUUUCUGUAUCCUUACCAAGGUAUAUGCCUUCUCUCAAAGUAUGUGGUAUUUUUGGUAUGAGGCAUAGUGAUAUUGCUUUCUCUCUCACCCUAUUCUAAUAAGGUUUUGAUAUCUGGAGCUCAUAGGUGGGAGACAUAUAAUACAUACUUACAAGACAUUUAUUGCAUAGUCAAACCAUGGAUCCAGAGAAACAAGUCAAUAAGUCAAAUCAAGAUGUGCAUGUGUGGCGAAUGAAAGGUUUAUGGUGAUAACAAUGGUGAAAGUCUGAUUCUACUUUUGCUCUUUUAAGGGGAUACAUACCUUUCUUGCACUUUGAAGCUUUUUGAGGAGAAUGAUAUGCUCUAUAUUUUAUUUUUCUUUUCUAUCAGGUGGGUAUCUUGUACCCCUAAUUCUAAUGUCGGACACUUGUCCAUUUUUACCUCUCGUCUCACUUUUUCUUUUUUUUUGAGGUUCCGGGCACUUGCCCCUUUUGAUUUCCUCGUAUCUUUUUCUCUUUUCGAGGUUCCGGGCACUUGCCCCUUUUUAUUUCCUCGUAUUCAUCAUUUUUUAGAGGACUCACCCUCCUGAAAUAAUGUAGCAAGCGGUAGUAACCAAAAUAACUGGAGCAUUUAUUUCACAGGGAAUAAUAGGGAUAUGAAAAUAUUUUUGGCUAUUCUCUAUUGGAUAGGAGUAGAAUAAUUUUAGGUGAAUUUGGAGAUGGAAGUGAGUGGAUGUAUGUGGAGGCGUACUUCCGGAGUAGAAGUAGCAUGUGUGACUGAACAUGCAAGUGGAUCUUGAUUUUAACCACAUGACAAGCUCCUAAGGGUCUACACAGCUUGACCACACUCAAUGCUCAUAAGCAGUAAAAAGUAAAUGUAUGGUUCUUAGUCUAAUAAGCAUGUAUAUAUAUAGCUGUGGUAGGAUUUUAAACUCUCAUCAUACAGGAACUCAUCAUGCAACAUUUUAAAGAUUUUCAAAGAUAAAAUUCUCCAGAAUUCUAACAUCUCUAGGAACAGAUAAACAUCAGGUCAACCUUCCCAUAUCAUAUCCGUGAACGACUUAGACUUUAGAUCAAGUACUCUUCCCACAAGUUCAGGUUUAAAGCAAAUCUUAAUUAAUAACAGUCAUGCCUAGACUUGAGAGAGAUUUCAAUUUUGAGAACUAGUCAUGGCAGAGCAAGUAGUCAUCAUUUCCAUGUGAGAGCUUAUCAUGAGGGUUCAUAGCAAACUUUAUUUAUUUAUUUAGCAAACUAAGCAAAGAUAUAUAUAUAAGCACAAAUCUUUAUUUGGGUUUUUAUGAUUAUGCAUCUUUUUAUUAUUUGAGUAAAGUAUAAACGUGAGUAGAACACUUAGCUGGAUAAAUGGGGGUGCUCUCCACCAAGCUGGAUUUUGACGUAAUUUCUUCUGAUGUAGCUAGCAGGUGAUGGAGGUGUAUUAGAAUGUUGGCAGCACCCUGACAGCGAUUACUAUGUCCUCCGCCGGCUAGUCUUCUUUGAUCCUUGAAUUUUGUGGAGCUCAAAUAGACAACAAAGCUUUGUGGAACUGGUUAAGUGUUAGCAUAAAAUCUCUUAGCCUUUAUCACAUUGAGAUUCCUCCUAAUAAAUUUUAUUAAUUUAGCAGGAUCAUGCACUUAUUAUUUUUAUAUUUUUAUUGUAAGACAAAAUCAUAUUUAUUUUGUGCCACCACAGUCAAUAUAGCUAUGGGUUUUAAACCACAAGUCUACUCACAUGGGGCUUU